Molecule: long non-coding RNA, 830 nt
Organism: Setaria italica (foxtail millet)
Lineage: Eukaryota; Viridiplantae; Streptophyta; Magnoliopsida; Poales; Poaceae
Exons: 2
Source: RefSeq, a predicted model, not a curated record
UGCCUUUCCCCACCCGUCCGUUCCUUCCCGCGGAGAUGGCGAUGCGGGUUCUUCCUCUCCUCCCCUUCCGAUCCAUUCGCCGAUCUUCUCCCUCGCCAUCUCCCCCACUGCGUGAUACCAGGCAAGGGCUUCUCCUUGCCAUUAGAAGGAGGCGCAGGUGAUUGGGAUGAUCUGUUCGAGCAGAUCGGGACGAAACCGGAUCGACGGCCAGAGCAGAGCGACAGGCCGUCGCGGAGGCCGCGAUGCGCUCCCCCUCAACCCGUCUUGGCGCUGCAGCAUGAAUGGAUUCGUCGGCAUGAGGAUCUGCAUCUCCGUCCAACAUUGGGGAGGCUGGACUUGAUCUGCCAGCACCAAGAACAAAAGGCAUGGACUCAACUAGCGAUGAAGACCGAACAACUGCCGCUCCUCUUCCAACCAUUCCUCCAUUGGGAGAAAGGCUGAAGCUGCCUUCACACGGAUUGCCUAGAUUGAAAGGGUUGAAAUUUGGAGGGAAGCCGUAAGGAUUGAAAGGGUUAAAGUUGGGAGGGAAUUGGGACCGGAAUUGUUGGCUGAAUUGAGAUGGAAAGUUGGUGGCUAACUGUGAUGGUGAGGGCCUUUGGGUGGAUUGGUUGCUUGUGUUUGGCUGCUGUGAAGGUGAGGAGCUUGAAGGAGUGAAGCCAUGCGUAUGAUCCAUGGUAGUUUUUUUCUGUAAUUUUUCUUCUGUAUGAGAUGGCUAGGUCAAAUGUUGAGAUAUAGCUGGCUGCUAUUUGUAGAAGCAUCAGCAGACUUGUGCAACGGCUACUCCUCUUCCAACGAUCAUGUGCAAUAAAUAUCUUGCCGCUGUCGAAGAA